This 1092-nucleotide ribosomal RNA is filed under the name Vibrio parahaemolyticus. Its description in RNAcentral is "bacterial SSU rRNA". It matches the Rfam family "Bacterial small subunit ribosomal RNA", at positions 451 to 1533 of the family's 1533-position model. The record is from RNAcentral. Lineage: Bacteria; Pseudomonadati; Pseudomonadota; Gammaproteobacteria; Vibrionales; Vibrionaceae.
AGUUAAUAGCUGCAUUAUUUGACGUUAGCGACAGAAGAAGCACCGGCUAACUCCGUGCCAGCAGCCGCGGUAAUACGGAGGGUGCGAGCGUUAAUCGGAAUUACUGGGCGUAAAGCGCAUGCAGGUGGUUUGUUAAGUCAGAUGUGAAAGCCCGGGGCUCAACCUCGGAAUUGCAUUUGAAACUGGCAGACUAGAGUACUGUAGAGGGGGGUAGAAUUUCAGGUGUAGCGGUGAAAUGCGUAGAGAUCUGAAGGAAUACCGGUGGCGAAGGCGGCCCCCUGGACAGAUACUGACACUCAGAUGCGAAAGCGUGGGGAGCAAACAGGAUUAGAUACCCUGGUAGUCCACGCCGUAAACGAUGUCUACUUGGAGGUUGUGGCCUUGAGCCGUGGCUUUCGGAGCUAACGCGUUAAGUAGACCGCCUGGGGAGUACGGUCGCAAGAUUAAAACUCAAAUGAAUUGACGGGGGCCCGCACAAGCGGUGGAGCAUGUGGUUUAAUUCGAUGCAACGCGAAGAACCUUACCUACUCUUGACAUCCAGAGAACUUUCCAGAGAUGGAUUGGUGCCUUCGGGAACUCUGAGACAGGUGCUGCAUGGCUGUCGUCAGCUCGUGUUGUGAAAUGUUGGGUUAAGUCCCGCAACGAGCGCAACCCUUAUCCUUGUUUGCCAGCGAGUAAUGUCGGGAACUCCAGGGAGACUGCCGGUGAUAAACCGGAGGAAGGUGGGGACGACGUCAAGUCAUCAUGGCCCUUACGAGUAGGGCUACACACGUGCUACAAUGGCGCAUACAGAGGGCAGCCAACUUGCGAAAGUGAGCGAAUCCCAAAAAGUGCGUCGUAGUCCGGAUUGGAGUCUGCAACUCGACUCCAUGAAGUCGGAAUCGCUAGUAAUCGUGGAUCAGAAUGCCACGGUGAAUACGUUCCCGGGCCUUGUACACACCGCCCGUCACACCAUGGGAGUGGGCUGCAAAAGAAGUAGGUAGUUUAACCUUCGGGGGGACGCUUACCACUUUGUGGUUCAUGACUGGGGUGAAGUCGUAACAAGGUAGCGCUAGGGGAACCUGGCGCUGGAUCACCUCCUUAAACGAUGAU